RNAcentral lists this ribosomal RNA (449 nucleotides) under uncultured bacterium. RNAcentral's name for it is "partial 16S ribosomal RNA". It matches the Rfam family "Bacterial small subunit ribosomal RNA", at positions 354 to 796 of the family's 1533-position model. The record is from RNAcentral.
GUGGGGAAUAUUGGACAAUGGGCGAAAGCCUGAUCCAGCCAUGCCGCGUGUGUGAAGAAGGUCUUCGGAUUGUAAAGCACUUUAAGUUGGGAGGAAGGGCAGUAAGUUAAUACCUUGCUGUUUUGACGUUACCGACAGAAUAAGCACCGGCUAACUUCGUGCCAGCAGCCGCGGUAAUACGAAGGGUGCAAGCGUUAAUCGGAAUUACUGGGCGUAAAGCGCGCGUAGGUGGUUUUGUAAGUUGGAGGUGAAAUCCCCGGGCUCAACCUGGGAACUGCCUCCAAAACUGCAUGACUAGAGUACGGUAGAGGGUAGUGGAAUUUCCUGUGUAGCGGUGAAAUGCGUAGAUAUAGGAAGGAACACCAGUGGCGAAGGCGACUACCUGGACUGAUUCUGACACUGAGGUGCGAAAGCGUGGGGAGCAAACAGGAUUAGAAACCCGAGUGUCC